RNAcentral lists this ribosomal RNA (253 nucleotides) under uncultured bacterium. RNAcentral describes it as "partial 16S ribosomal RNA". It matches the Rfam family "Bacterial small subunit ribosomal RNA", at positions 524 to 776 of the family's 1533-position model. The record is from RNAcentral.
UACGUAGGUGGCGAGCGUUAUCCGGAAUUACUGGGCGUAAAGAGCGUGUAGGCGGCCAAACAGGUCCGUUGUGAAAACUGGAGGCUCAACCUCCAGACGUCGACGGAAACCGUAUGGCUAGAGUCCGGAAGAGGAGAGUGGAAUUCCUGGUGUAGCGGUGAAAUGCGCAGAUAUCAGGAAGAACACCUAUGGCGAAGGCAGCUCUCUGGGACGGUACUGACGCUGAGACGCGAAAGCGUGGGGAGCGAACAGG